Molecule: unclassified non-coding RNA, 240 nt
Filed under: soil metagenome
Description: partial contains 5.8S ribosomal RNA, internal transcribed spacer 2, and large subunit ribosomal RNA
Source: RNAcentral
AACAUCGCGCACCUGCGGGAACCUGCGGAAGGAUCAUUACCGAGUGCGGGUCCCCUCGCGGGGCCCAACCUCCCACCCGUGUCUACCGUCACCUGUUGCUUCGGCGGGCCCGCCUUCGUGCCGCCGGGGGGCCCUCUGCGCCCCCGGGCCCGCGCCCGCCGAAGACUCUAGGAACACUGAAUGAAGGAUGCCGUCUGAGUCAAACGACACAAUCGUUAAAACUUUCAACAACGGAUCUCA